AUUGAACGCUGGCGGCAGGCCUAACACAUGCAAGUCGAGCGGAUGAAGGGAGCUUGCUCCUGGAUUCAGCGGCGGACGGGUGAGUAAUGCCUAGGAAUCUGCCUGGUAGUGUGGGAUAACGUCCGGAAACGGGCGCUAAUACCGCAUACGUCCUGAGGGAGAAAGUGGGGGAUCUUCGGACCUCACGCUAUCAGAUGAGCCUAGGUCGGAUUAGCUAGUUGGUGGGGUAAAGGCCUACCAAGGCGACGAUCCGUAACUGGUCUGAGAGGAUGAUCAGGCACACUGGAACUGAGACACGGUCCAGACUCCUACGGGAGGCAGCAGUGGGGAAUAUUGGACAAUGGGCGAAAGCCUGAUCCAGCCAUGCCGCGUGUGUGAAGAAGGUCUUCGGAUUGUAAAGCACUUUAAGUUGGGAGGAAGGGCAGUAAGUUAAUACCUUGCUGUUUUGACGUUACCAACAGAAUAAGCACCGGCUAACUUCGUG
This 484-nucleotide ribosomal RNA is filed under the name uncultured bacterium. RNAcentral describes it as "partial 16S ribosomal RNA". It matches the Rfam family "Bacterial small subunit ribosomal RNA", at positions 30 to 507 of the family's 1533-position model. The record is from RNAcentral.